AUCCGAGUGGUGGAAUGGUAGACACAACACACUUAAAUUGUGUAGACAUAAUGUCAUAAAGGUUCAAGUCCUUUUUCGGAUA
Molecule: non-coding RNA, 82 nt
Organism: Coniochaeta pulveracea
Lineage: Eukaryota; Fungi; Ascomycota; Sordariomycetes; Coniochaetales; Coniochaetaceae
Source: the annotation of a GenBank genome assembly